Molecule: long non-coding RNA, 373 nt
Filed under: Brassica napus (rape)
Lineage: Eukaryota; Viridiplantae; Streptophyta; Magnoliopsida; Brassicales; Brassicaceae
Description: long non-coding RNA (BNAP_LNC000348)
Source: RNAcentral
AUAUCUCCUUAUCCUUUAUCAGAAAAAAAUGAAAACUCCUUAAACAAAAAAAAAAAAAGAAAACUCCGCGUUGCAACUAUUUGAUAUAGACACUGUUGAGGAUGUAAUAAUGGAACAACUUUCUAAAUAUAAAGGUUCCCCACCAGCAAAGGAAAUAUAGUAGACGACAACUUCGUAAAAUAAUGUUCUGAAUAAAUCUAUAUUGCAAUGAUGUAUUUUUUUAAUUGAAAUUUUAAUCAUCCAGAUAAAUAGAGAUUCAGAUUCGAUUAUAAGCCCGAGUUAAACAAAAAUUUCAAUUCUAAAUAUUAUAACCUUAAUUUCGUACCUACUUAAUCAAACACAUUUCUCUUUUUAUUAUUUUUAGGAAUCAGUC